This 83-nucleotide transfer RNA is filed under the name Canis lupus familiaris (dog). It matches the Rfam family "tRNA". Rfam says of the family: Transfer RNA (tRNA) molecules are approximately 80 nucleotides in length. Their secondary structure includes four short double-helical elements and three loops (D, anti-codon, and T loops). The record is from Rfam by way of RNAcentral. Lineage: Eukaryota; Metazoa; Chordata; Mammalia; Carnivora; Canidae. RNAcentral also lists the same sequence under 2 other names.
GCCUGAGUGGCUCAGUGGUUGAGUGUCUGCCUUUGGCUCAGGUCAUGAUUCCCGGGUCUUGGGAUCGAGUCCCACAUCAGGCU